GUCAGGAUGGCCGAGCGGUCCAAGUGCAGUCCAAGCUGCGUUCAGGUCGCAGUCUCCAAUGGAGGCGUGGGUUCGAAUCCCACUUCUGACA
Cyprinodon tularosa is the source of this 91-nucleotide non-coding RNA. Lineage: Eukaryota; Metazoa; Chordata; Actinopteri; Cyprinodontiformes; Cyprinodontidae. The record is from the annotation of a RefSeq genome assembly.